Molecule: ribosomal RNA, 484 nt
Filed under: uncultured bacterium
Lineage: Bacteria
Description: partial 16S ribosomal RNA
Rfam family: Bacterial small subunit ribosomal RNA
Source: RNAcentral
AUUGAACGCUGGCGGCAUGCUUUACACAUGCAAGUCGAACGGCAGCGCGGGCUUCGGCCUGGCGGCGAGUGGCGAACGGGUGAGGAAUGCAUCGGAACGUGCCCAGUAGUGGGGGAUAGCCCGGCGAAAGCCGGAUUAAUACCGCAUACGACCUGAGGGUGAAAGCGGGGGACCGAAAGGCCUCGCGCUAUUGGAGCGGCCGAUGUCGGAUUAGCUAGUUGGUGGGGUAAAGGCUUACCAAGGCGACGAUCCGUAGCUGGUCUGAGAGGACGACCAGCCACACUGGGACUGAGACACGGCCCAGACUCCUACGGGAGGCAGCAGUGGGGAAUUUUGGACAAUGGGGGCAACCCUGAUCCAGCCAUGCCGCGUGCGGGAAGAAGGCCUUCGGGUUGUAAACCGCUUUUGUGCGGGAAGAAAUCCUCUGGGCUAAUACCCCGGGGGGAUGACGGUACCGGAAGAAUAAGCGCCGGCUAACUACGUG